UCAAGUUGACUACUGAAAAAAUACAUAAUUUAAACUCAGGUUUGUUUUGGAGCAGGAAAUGGUGAAGAACUCCAAGGAGGCCAUCUACCUGAAAGAGAGAUACUAUAUGCAAUGGUAUUUUGGACACAUUAUAGUAAUUCUUGAGAAUGUUUUAAUGCUGGAGAUAUGAAGAAAUAGAAGUUUGAGAAACCUUCACAUUCUCAGAGAUGUUCAGAUAAAAAAACU
Tupaia belangeri chinensis (Chinese tree shrew) is the source of this 225-nucleotide long non-coding RNA. RefSeq lists it as uncharacterized. The record is from RefSeq and is a predicted model, not a curated record. NCBI's taxonomy places the organism in Eukaryota, Metazoa, Chordata, Mammalia, Scandentia, Tupaiidae. The transcript is spliced from 4 exons.